Molecule: ribosomal RNA, 331 nt
Filed under: uncultured eukaryote
Lineage: Eukaryota
Description: partial 18S ribosomal RNA
Rfam family: Eukaryotic small subunit ribosomal RNA
Source: RNAcentral
CCCUUAGAUGUUCUGGGCCGCACGCGCGCUACACUGUUCGACGCAGCGAGUCUUAACCUUGACCGAAAGGUUUGGGUAAUCUUCAGCAAAGUCGAACGUGAUGGGGAUCGAUCAUUGCAAUUAUUGAUCGUGAACGAGGAAUUCCUAGUAAGUGCAAGUCAUCAGCUUGCGCUGAUUACGUCCCUGCCCUUUGUACACACCGCCCGUCGCUACUACCGAUUGAAUGGUUUAGUGAGAUCUCUGGAUUGACGCUGGCUAGGGGGCGACUCUUGGCCAGACUGUUGAGAAACUGCUCAAACUUGAUCAUUUAGAGGAAGUAAAAGUCGUAACA